Molecule: ribosomal RNA, 702 nt
Filed under: Corynebacterium jeikeium
Lineage: Bacteria; Bacillati; Actinomycetota; Actinomycetes; Mycobacteriales; Corynebacteriaceae
Description: bacterial SSU rRNA
Rfam family: Bacterial small subunit ribosomal RNA
Source: RNAcentral
CACAUGCAAGUCGAACGGAAAGGCUCCUUGCUUGCAAGGGGUACUCGAGUGGCGAACGGGUGAGUAACACGUGGGUGAUCUGCCUUGCACUUCGGGAUAAGCCUGGGAAACUGGGUCUAAUACCGGAUAGGACCAUGCUUUAGUGUGUGUGGUGGAAAGUUUUUCGGUGCAAGAUGAGCCCGCGGCCUAUCAGCUUGUUGGUGGGGUAAUGGCCUACCAAGGCGACGACGGGUAGCCGGCCUGAGAGGGUGUACGGCCACAUUGGGACUGAGACACGGCCCAGACUCCUACGGGAGGCAGCAGUGGGGAAUAUUGCACAAUGGGCGCAAGCCUGAUGCAGCGACGCCGCGUGGGGGAUGACGGCCUUCGGGUUGUAAACUCCUUUCGCUAGGGAAGAAGCCUUUUGGUGACGGUACCUGGAUAAGAAGCACCGGCUAACUACGUGCCAGCAGCCGCGGUAAUACGUAGGGUGCGAGCGUUGUCCGGAAUUACUGGGCGUAAAGAGCUCGUAGGUGGUUUGUCGCGUCGUCUGUGAAAUCCCGGGGCUUAACUUCGGGCGUGCAGGCGAUACGGGCAUAACUAGAGUGCUGUAGGGGAGACUGGAAUUCCUGGUGUAGCGGUGAAAUGCGCAGAUAUCAGGAGGAACACCGAUGGCGAAGGCAGGUCUCUGGGCAGUUACUGACGCUGAGGAGCGAAAGCAUG